This 433-nucleotide ribosomal RNA is filed under the name uncultured bacterium. RNAcentral's name for it is "partial 16S ribosomal RNA". It matches the Rfam family "Bacterial small subunit ribosomal RNA", at positions 29 to 507 of the family's 1533-position model. The record is from RNAcentral.
AACGAACGCUGGCGGCAUGCCUAACACAUGCAAGUCGAACGAUCCCUUCGGGGAUAGUGGCGCACGGGUGCGUAACGCGUGGGAACCUGCCCUUAGGUUCGGAAUAACUCAGAGAAAUUUGAGCUAAUACCGGAUAAUGUCUUCGGACCAAAGAUUUAUCGCCUUUGGAUGGGCCCGCGUUGGAUUAGCUAGUUGGUGGGGUAAAGGCCUACCAAGGCGACGAUCCAUAGCUGGUCUGAGAGGAUGAUCAGCCACACUGGGACUGAGACACGGCCCAGACUCCUACGGGAGGCAGCAGUGGGGAAUAUUGGACAAUGGGCGAAAGCCUGAUCCAGCAAUGCCGCGUGAGUGAUGAAGGCCUUAGGGUUGUAGAGCUCUUUUACCCGGGAUGAUAAUGACAGUACCGGGAGAAUAAGCCCCGGCUAACUCCGUG